Molecule: long non-coding RNA, 2921 nt
Filed under: Heterocephalus glaber (naked mole-rat)
Lineage: Eukaryota; Metazoa; Chordata; Mammalia; Rodentia; Bathyergidae
Description: lncRNA (ENSHGLG00000032774.1)
Source: RNAcentral
UGUAAGUCCAAUGGUGUUUUCUCCUAUUGCAUGGAUCAGCUUUUCUAAUGCUGGGACAAAAUGUCUGACAUCUACAACUCAAAAGAGGGAAGAUUUAUUUUGGCUUGUAGUUUCAGAGGAUUCGGUCCACAGUAGGCUGGCUCCAAGGUGAGAGGUCACAUACUUGCCCACUGAUGGACUUUGGUGAGGGACGUCUGCCUUGAAGCCCAGCCCCUAUUAUGAUGCCAAAACUCAAGGGAAGAGGACAUCAUCUCUUUCCAAUUAAUACAUUUUCUGCAGGCAUCUGAAUAAAAUAGCCAAGAUUUCCCCUUCAAAGCUCUCUGUCUUAAGUUUAAAGAAGUGAGAGCCCAUAAAAGAUGGUCCUAAUUAAGCUUAAAAUUUUUGGCAAGUGUUGGAUUACUUAAAGGCCUGACAUAAACAUCUUGGAAAUUAAGAUGUUUCUCUAUUACAACAAUCUCCUCUUGACAUCUGCACCACAGCCAGGGCUGCUCAGGUGUCCUGAGAAAUGUACUCACUCCACAGGCUGGUCAUCUUUUGAAGGUGCUGAAUCAAGUGAAUGAGAGACCACAAGUCUUUUGGUCUUCAUGAAGAUAAAACCAGGGGCCAGCUUGCUCUGGUUCUGUGAAUAAAUUGGUGCCACUGACCAGAGACCUUACAAAAGAGUCAGUGCACACUUGGAUGCCAGACAGCACCAUAACCCAGAGAACCCAAGGCCAAACUGCUUUAGCUCAGCAUGGAGAAUAUGCAUCUCAGAUGUAUUUUCAAGGUGUGUCGGAGAAAGGCCUCUGUUGUCUCACUGCAUGGAGCAAAUCUCUGGCCCACAUGGACUGUCUCUCCUUCUCAGACUACAGAAUCUCCACUUAGGAACAUGAAUUUUGGACAAGUUCUUCAGCUUCUGCCAACAGCUAAAGACACUCGCAUGAAGCAGGACUACUCAGUGGUGUCUCUAUGGGGCAGGACCAUGGGGAAUUUGUCAGGAAAUGCAAAUCAGCAAUGUUUAGUUUAAAAUUGACUUUAAAACUUUGUGAGCAAUUAGACAUUAUGUAAAGAGUAAUACAUGUGGAUUUUUGCCAACCACUUGCAGUAGCUUUCCAGUAAUGGCAAAACAAUCCUUUCUCUAAUUCACAUCAACUUAAAAAGAUGAUAAGUUUUUAAAUUUUGAGACAAUUUUUAUGUUGUUUUUACUGUGGAAUCACUUCUUAAUUUAAUUACACACAAAAAAGAGAAUUUCUUUUCUAUUACAAAGAAAGAACUACAUCUUUUUAGUGUGUAAAUAAUUUCAUAGCAAGUUGCUCAAAGUGUCUAAAUACCAAUAGUGAUAAGAGACAGACACAAUCUUAUCAUUUUAUUGUUGAAAAAAUUCAAACUAUGUGAAUUUAUAUCUUUUGUACUUUGAAAUCUAACAUUCUGAAAAAAACCCAACUGGUUUAGUUUUGGUAGUGUGAGCUGAAUUCUAAAGUAGAAGAGUCAAUCCCACGGUGCGGUUUUCCAUGCAUAAAUGGGACACAGGAGCUUCUUCAGAAUUCACACCUUAGCUGCUGAGAAGGCUGCAGAAGCAGGAAGGCCAUCUCACCUUGGUGUGAACCUGGCUGGGAAAGUCAUCAUGGAUCCUCUCCCCCCAGCAACAGGUGUGCUGCCCUACACCAGGGGGAAGAAGUGCCAUGCAGCAUGGUAAGGAGAAGCUGAACAAAAAGGCCCUGCUAAGUCUCCCCCACCUUUAGUUCACUAGCUUUUAGUCCACCAAACAUACCUCUGCACGUCGGUCCACAAACACAUGGAUUUCUCUGUUCCUGGGUGUCUUUAUUUCCUUAUAAAGACUUUCAUAGCAUGUAAACUUCUAUUGCUCAUCUUUUUUUUUUUUGUCUUUGGGGCCUCAGCCAUGAAUCUUGCAAACGGUGAGAAAAAGAGGUAAUUUUCUUUCUCCUAAAACCUCCUUUCGUGGUUUUUUUCAAAGCAGAGUUAGAAGCUGAAGAAAAAAUUCAGCCUCUGGGUAAAAGGGCUCUGCUUGCAGCUGUUGCUGGUCCUGGGUGCUGCGGCAACACACAUGGAAUGGGGUGGGGAACACCAGCACAGGCCCAGGGCUGUAGCAGUAGGGGUACCAUGCGGGCAAAUUUGUAUCACAUUAUUAUCAACAGAAUCCAGGGUUCUUCGACUAUAGUUAAAAAUGCCACUGCACACUUACUUUUCUGUUCACUUAUUCUUCCUCAAGUAUUUACCCUAGAGUUCACAUGGCAAGCCAUUUGUGAGGUUCCAGUGAGCCAACAUGUCUACGCCUCUGGGAACAUGGGCCCUUCUGGGAAGAAGAAUGACAGCCUUCAAGCAGACGGCCCGUGGAAACGGUCAGACCUUAUUGGGAAAAAGUCUCAUGCUGGGCUGUCCAUGUGCGCCUUAGAUCCAGUGACAGGUAUCUUAUAAGAGAUUCACAGAAUGGAGAUGUGAGGAGAGACAACGGCUAUGUGACAGUGGAGCCAGACACUAUCACACACCCCAGGCGGAAGAAUGCCCGUCACCCUCAGAGGCCGGGAGAGGCAACAAAGGACCCUGCGCUGCGGGAUGUGGAGCGGAGGGCUUUGCUGACCCCUUGAUUUCAGACUUCUGUUUUUUUUUUUUUUUAUAUAUUUCCAGUUUUAAUUGGAAAAACAAAAAUCUUGAAACAUGUACAUACAUUUAGGAGGCAAUGAAAGAAAAAGGGGAUGAUUGCCAAUAUCCAUCAGCAAGUAUUUCUGGUUCUAUAAUUGAGAUUUUUCUAGUCAAAUUCCAACUUUCCAAGUUUAUUUUAAAUUUCUUUUCUGUACAUUUACCUGUUUGAACAAGAUCAACAUUAAAUAAGUAAAAAAAAAUAUGGUCUAGAAAAUUCUUUAUAUUUAUUCCUGGCAGAAACAUCUCAGCUCUAAAACUGAUAUGCCAAUAUAAUGAAAGGC